CCUAGCGGCAGACGGGUGCGUAACAUGUGGGAAUCUGCCUUUUGGUUCGGAAUAACACGAGGAAACUUGUGCUAAUACCGGAUAAGCCCUUACGGGGAAAGUUUUAAUGCCAAAAGAUGAGCCCGCACUUGAUUAGCUAGUUGGUAAGGUAAUGGCUUACCAAGGCAACGAUCAAUAGCUGUUCUUAGAGGAAGACCAGCCACAUUGGGACUGAGACACGGCCCAGACUCC
Molecule: ribosomal RNA, 231 nt
Filed under: uncultured bacterium
Lineage: Bacteria
Description: partial 16S ribosomal RNA
Rfam family: Bacterial small subunit ribosomal RNA
Source: RNAcentral